UUUCAGGAGUUUUCCAUUGAGUUUCCACCAUUUGAUGCUUCCAAGACCUUCCCAUUGGAUUUCCAUCAGUUUUCGUCAUUUUUAAGCCAUUUUUUGAUGGUUUCAAGACCUUCCCAUUGGAUUUCCACCAUCCUUUGAUGUUUCCAAGACCUUCCCGUUGGUUUUCCACCACUUUUUGAUGGUUUCAAGACCUUCCCGUUGGGUUUCCGUCAGUUUUUGUCGGUUUUAAGCCAUUUUUUGAUGGUUUCAAGACCUUCCCGUUGGGUUUUCACCAUCCUUUGGUGCUUCCAAGACCUUCCUGUUGGGUUUCCACCAUCCUUUGAUGCUUCCAAGACCUUCCCGUUGGGUUUCCACCAUCCUUUGAUGCUUCCAAGACCUUCCCGUUGGGUUUCCACCAUCUUUUCAUGGUUCCAAGACCUUCCCAUUGGGUUUCCACCAUCAUUUCAUGCUUUCAAGACCUUCUCGUUGGGUUUCCACUCAUUUUUGAUGGUUUCCAGUCAAUUUUUGAUGGUUUCAAACCCUUCCCAUUGGGUUUCCACCAUCCUUUGAUGCUUCCAAGACCUUCCCGUUGAGUUUCCAUCAGUUUUUGUCGGUUUUAAGCCAUUUUUUGAGGGUUUCAAGACCUUCCCGUUGGUUUCCCACCAUCUUUUCAUGGAUUCAAGACCUUCCCCUUGGCUUUCCACCCCUUUUUGAUGGUUUCAAGACCUUCCCCUUGGGUUUGAACCCCUUUUUGACGGUUUCAAACCAAUUUUUGAGGGUUUCAAGCCACUCCCAUCGGGUCUCCCACCAUUUUUGGGUCACUUUUAGGCCAUUUUUUGCCACUUUCGAGCCAUUUCUUGAUGGUUUCAAGCCAUUCCCGUUGGGUUCCCAACAUUUUUUUGUCACUUUUAAUCCAUUUUUUGACAAUUUCAUUGGUUUCCCACCAUUUUUUCCCCGCUUUUAGGCCAUUUUUUUGUGGUCUCAACCUACUUUUUGAUGGUUUCCCACCUUUUUUUGUCACUUUUAGGCCAUUUAUUGACGAUUUCAACCCACCUUUGGAUGAUUUCCCACCAUUUUUGUCACUUUUAGGCCAUUUUUUCACGGUCUCAACCUACUUUUUGAUGGUUUCCCACCAUUUUCUGUCCCUUUUAGGCCAUUUUUUCACAGUCUCAACCUACUUUUUGAUGGUUUCCCACCACUUUUUGUCACUUUUAGGCCAUUUUUUCGCGGUCUCAACCUACUUUUUGAUGGUUUCCCACCAUUUUUUGUCGCUUUUAGGCCAUUUUUUUGUCACUUUUAGGCCAUUUAUUGACGAUUUCAAGCCAUUCCCGUUGGUUACCCACCAUUUUAUGUUGAUUUCAGGCCAUUUUUUGAUGGUUUGA
This 1361-nucleotide long non-coding RNA is filed under the name Manacus vitellinus (golden-collared manakin). Its description in RNAcentral is "lncRNA (ENSMVIG00005011046.1)". The record is from RNAcentral. Lineage: Eukaryota; Metazoa; Chordata; Aves; Passeriformes; Pipridae.